CCUACGGGAGGCAGCAGUGAGGAAUAUUGGUCAAUGGCCGGAAGGCUGAACCAGCCAUGCCGCGUGAAGGUCAGUGCCCUAUGGGCGUUAAACUUCUUUUGUGCGGGAACAAUAAUGGUCACGUGUGGCCAGACGAGAGUACCGUACGAAUAAGCAUCGGCUAACUCCGUGCCAGCAGCCGCGGUAAUACGGGGGAUGCAAGCGUUAUCCGGAUUUGUUGGGGUUACAGGGUGCGUAGGCUGUGAGGGAAGUCAGCGGGGAAAUGCCCCCGCUCAACGGGGUGAAGUGCCAUUGAUACGGCCUUGCUUGAAUGCGGAUGCCGUGGGAGGAAUGUGUGGUGUAGCGGUGAAAUGCAUAGAUAUCACACAGAACACCGAUUGCGAAGGCAUCUCACGAAUCCGCGAUUGACGCUGAUGCACGAAAGCGUGGGUAUCAAACAGGAUUAGAUACCCGGGUAGUC
RNAcentral lists this ribosomal RNA (460 nucleotides) under uncultured bacterium. RNAcentral's name for it is "partial 16S ribosomal RNA". It matches the Rfam family "Bacterial small subunit ribosomal RNA", at positions 338 to 795 of the family's 1533-position model. The record is from RNAcentral.